UAAUACGUAGGGGGCAAGCGUUGUCCGGAUUUAUUGGGCGUAAAGAGCGUGUAGGCGGCCAGGUAGGUCGGCUGUGAAAACUCGAGGCUCAACCUCGAGCUGUCGGCCGAAACCAUCUGGCUAGAGUCCGGAAGAGGAGAAUGGAAUUCCCGGUGUAGCGGUGAAAUGCGCAGAUAUCGGGAAGAACACCCGUGGCGAAGGCGGUUCUCUGGGACGGUA
This 219-nucleotide ribosomal RNA is filed under the name uncultured bacterium. RNAcentral describes it as "partial 16S ribosomal RNA". It matches the Rfam family "Bacterial small subunit ribosomal RNA", at positions 521 to 739 of the family's 1533-position model. The record is from RNAcentral.